This 1341-nucleotide small RNA is filed under the name Arabidopsis thaliana (thale cress). RNAcentral's name for it is "ATSL158170". Lineage: Eukaryota; Viridiplantae; Streptophyta; Magnoliopsida; Brassicales; Brassicaceae. The record is from RNAcentral.
AUGGUGGGUUUCUAGUAACAAUCCUAGGUCAGGAUUCAAACAAGAAAAACAAGAACUUAAGAGCCCUACUCGAUCAUUGGGUCGAGUAGAACCAACAAGUGACAAAUUUAAGUAACUAAAAUGUAAUCAAAAGGGGAUACAAAUAACAGGUAAAUAAAAGUGCAAUCAACAGGGGAUACAAAUAAAUCUAAUAGAAGUCCUAAGGAUGGAUUCAUUGAUAAGGGCAACUCUAGGGUUCAUCAUGUGGCUAACAGGUGAAAGGUAGAUACCCUUGACGAUAGAUUCAAAAACUGAGUCAAUCAACUAUCGUGACAGAGACCCCCAUAACUCUACCACUUCCUAAUCUCAACUGUCGUUGAUGAAACAUAGCAGACCAGGGUUUACGCAACAAUCUACCAAAGCCAAUAAGCAGACAAACCAAUGUCUUGGUCUAGUCUAUAAAUCUCUGGAAUUCGUAGAUCAGACAUCCAUUUGAACGUCUUUUGGACGCUGGACGUCUAUGAUCGAAUCUCCACAUUAGCCAGCGAAAACCGCAUAGGGGCCAAGUGAAUCCAGAAGGGUUCUAACCUAAUCUUAACCACCUGACUAACCUAGAUAUUAAUUACCCUAAUCUAAUCCAUCCUCAAGAACCCUAAUCGCUACUCAAGCAACAUUCUCAAGAACACAAACCCAGAAAUUACUGAAAUCAUACCAAAAUGUAGAUCUAAACAAGCUAAACAACUUUACUUAAAGAACUAAAUGCAAAAACGAAAUAGUUUAAGAGUAAUUAAGUUUUGAAGAUUCAUAAACACAAAGAAAAACUAAAGGAUAAAAGCUAGAUCCUUUGGACAAAUCCCAAAGUGAUCUAUUUAUAGUAAAAUGUUAAAACCUUAUAUUCACUAGAAGAAAAGAGAGUUGAGGCGGUUUGGGCGAAUGCUCGAUCUUGGGGAUCGAGUAAUGAGGGUGCUGCAAAGUCUGCUCCUUUGUGUCUAUGUUCCGAGUGAUCAAUUGGUCGAGUAGAUGCUUCUUCCUCUCCUAUCUAUAUGCUAAGAUGUCUGGUUGAGUGGGGAAUGAGGAGGAUCAAAAAGCUGCCUUGAUCGAGUAAGAGGGUCGAGUGAAUUGCUGCCUCCUCUGUGGCUGCCUAGAUCGAGUGAAUGGAUCGAGUAGAAUGCUUUGCUUCUUCCCUCCUGGUUGGAUAGAGUAAAGGGUCGAGUAGAGUCCUUUUAACCUCCUUCUGCACCUGAAAACACACCAAAACAUGCAAUGUGUAUGCAAGAUGAUCCUAAAUGCCUAAGUAUGCAAAAUAAGCUAAAAUGGUGCAAAAUGAUAUUAUACAUUGAGCAAAUGCAAAUCUAAAUGAUG